GAAUAAGGGGAAGGGUUCCUGCAGUCCAAAUUAAGCGUAGUGGUCCUAACAGGAUUGCUUUCCAAAAAUGGUUCUUACUUUUCUUUUACUUCGCAUAUUAUAGGUUAUAUCUUUGAGUGUCGUCGGAAAUCAAAUGAUGAUUAAUUAGUUGAUGCUGCUCAUAAUGUGUCUCUACUUAUAUAUAUCUUUAUAUCAGUGAAACUUGUGGCCUUUCCGUCGCAGUCGCUUUGACUGACAUGUAUUAAUAUGUACAGACAGAUUUUGUACUAACGAAAUCGAUUUGCCAUUGGAGGAAAAGAAGUGUUAAAGUACUGAGGCGUGAAGACCAACCCAGAUCGGCUUUCUGGAUUUUCAUGUAAGUUGUUCACUCCUGUGUCUAUGUCAAUCAUUCAAUUCACAACUCUAUUUUUUUUUAUAACUAUAAUGUCCGGGUCACGCAUUUCGAUUAAUUUCAGUGAUUAUAUGUUACCUCUCAACAACAUAUUCUUCGACAAAGAUAUAUGUUUGUUUAUAUUCUUGACAUAUAAGCCAAAUUGUUUAAUUUGUCAUUAUAUUGUUCGGUUUUAUAUUGUGAAGAACAGGAUGGAUGAUAAUGAACUUGAAGUGGAUGGAAAAGCUAUUGAGAUGUGGAAAACCAUGUCAAAGGAGGUACUUCAUUUGGAUCUAUUGAUGGUACUAAAGCUUUUAUUUGUGUUUCUUAGUCAUUACUGUGCUCUUGUUCAAAUAUGAAAUGUGUUUGAAUCACCAGGUAUUGGGUUCUUCACAUUAUAAAUUUUUAUUAUUGAUGUAUAGACAUUUGGAUUCCUUUUCUGUGCGUCAUAUAUGUUGCUCUUGAAUAUUCCUUGAACGAUAAUGCAGCAGUACUAUUUAAGCAUUUGGCGGUAGUUAAACGACUAGAUUCUUCUGCUCUUAAUUGACUUACUAUAUGACAUUCAUUAUUGAAUUUUCCGGCAACGAGCAACUUGAUAUUAUUUGGAGAAAUCCAAAUUUCAGCCUUGGCGAAUUUAACCAAUGGAAGAGGAGCACUAUAUAUUGCAUUAUAUCUUUGAC
This 1050-nucleotide long non-coding RNA is filed under the name Nicotiana tabacum (common tobacco). RNAcentral's name for it is "long non-coding RNA (NTAB_LNC001474)". The record is from RNAcentral. Lineage: Eukaryota; Viridiplantae; Streptophyta; Magnoliopsida; Solanales; Solanaceae.